RNAcentral lists this transfer RNA (71 nucleotides) under Marmota monax (woodchuck). RNAcentral describes it as "tRNA.Ala". Lineage: Eukaryota; Metazoa; Chordata; Mammalia; Rodentia; Sciuridae. The record is from RNAcentral.
GGGGAUGUGGCUCAGUGACAGAGCACUCGCCUAGCAUGUGUGAGGCACUGGGUUUAAUCCUCAGCACCACA